RNAcentral lists this ribosomal RNA (257 nucleotides) under uncultured bacterium. RNAcentral describes it as "partial 16S ribosomal RNA". It matches the Rfam family "Bacterial small subunit ribosomal RNA", at positions 524 to 776 of the family's 1533-position model. The record is from RNAcentral.
UACGAAGGGGGCUAGCGUUAUCCACAAUGAUUGGGCGUAAAGGGUAAUUAGACGGUUUUUUGAGUGUUUUGUGUAAAAAUUUAAAAGUAAUACUUAAAAAAUGCACUAUUUACAGCAAUCACUUGAGUUCAAAGGAGGUUAACAGAAUUUUAUUUCUAGGGCUAAAAUGCAUAGAGUAAUAAAAGAAUGCCAAAGGCGAAGGCAGUUAACUAUUUUGUUCUGACGUUUGUUAGACGAAGGCUAGGGUAGCAAACAGG